Molecule: ribosomal RNA, 253 nt
Filed under: uncultured bacterium
Lineage: Bacteria
Description: partial 16S ribosomal RNA
Rfam family: Bacterial small subunit ribosomal RNA
Source: RNAcentral
UACAGAGGGUGCGAGCGUUAAUCGGAAUUACUGGGCGUAAAGCGUCUGUAGGUGGCUUUUUAAGUCCGCCGUCAAAUCCCAGGGCUCAACUCUGGACAGGCGGUGGAAACUACCAAGCUGGAGUACGGUAGGGGCAGAGGGAAUUUCCGGUGGAGCGGUGAAAUGCGUAGAUAUCGGAAGGAACGCCGGUGGCGAAAGCGACGUGCUGGACCUCUUCUGACGCUGAGGCGCGAAAGCCAGGGGAGCAAACGGG